CUACGGGACGCUGCAGUGGGGAAUAUUGGACAAUGGGGGAAACCCUGAUCCAGCAAUGCCGCGUGUGUGAAGAAGGCCUGCGGGUUGUAAAGCACUUUCGGUUGGGAGGACUGCUUCUAGCACUAAUAUUGUUGGAAGUUGACGUUACCUUCAGAAGAGGCACCGGCUAACUCCGUGCCAGCAGCCGCGGUAAUAGGGAGGGUGCAAGCGUUAAUCGGAAUUACUGGGCGUAAAGCGCGCGUAGGCGGCUAGAUCAGUCGGGUGUGAAAGCCCCGGGCUUAACCUGGGAACUGCAUCCGAUACUGUCUAGCUUGAGUACAGGAGAGGAGAGUGGAAUUCCACAUGUAGCGGUGAAAUGCGUAGAUAUGUGGAGGAACACCAAUGGCGAAGGCAGCUCUCUGGCCUGAUACUGACGCUGAGGUGCGAAAGCGUGGGGAGCAAACAGGAUUAGAUACCCCCGUAGUC
Molecule: ribosomal RNA, 465 nt
Filed under: uncultured bacterium
Lineage: Bacteria
Description: partial 16S ribosomal RNA
Rfam family: Bacterial small subunit ribosomal RNA
Source: RNAcentral